GACGAACGCUGGCGGCGUGCUUAACACAUGCAAGUCGAACGGAAAGGCCCUGCUUUUGUGGGGUGCUCGCGUGGCGAACGGGUGAGUAACAUGUGAGUAACCUGCCCUUGACUUUGGGAUAACUUCAGGAAACUGGGGCUAAUACCGGAUACGUGCUCCUGCUGCAUGGUGGGGGUCGGACAGUUUCGGCGGUUGGGGAUGGACUCCCGGCUUAUCAGCUUGUUGGUUGGGUAGUGGCUUACCAAGUCUUUGACGGGUAGCCGGCCUGAGAGGUGGACCGGCCACAUUGGGACUGAGAUACGGCCCAGACUCCUACGGGAGGCAGCAGUGGGGAAUAUUGCACAAUGGGCGGAAGCCUGAUGCAGCAACGCCGCGUGCGGGAUGACGGCCUUCGGGUUGUAAACCGCUUUCGCCUGUGACGAAGCGUGAGUGACGGUAAUGGGUAAAGAAGCACCGGCUAACUACGUG
RNAcentral lists this ribosomal RNA (468 nucleotides) under uncultured bacterium. Its description in RNAcentral is "partial 16S ribosomal RNA". It matches the Rfam family "Bacterial small subunit ribosomal RNA", at positions 28 to 507 of the family's 1533-position model. The record is from RNAcentral.